Molecule: ribosomal RNA, 526 nt
Filed under: Epicoccum nigrum
Lineage: Eukaryota; Fungi; Ascomycota; Dothideomycetes; Pleosporales; Didymellaceae
Description: eukaryotic LSU rRNA
Rfam family: 5.8S ribosomal RNA (bases 155-308)
Source: RNAcentral
GGGGCUAUCCUAAAGCUUUUGCUUUACUUCGGUCUGCUACCUCUUACCCAUGUCUUUUGAGUACCUUCGUUUCCUCGGCGGGUCCGCCCGCCGAUUGGACAACAUUCAAACCCUUUGCAGUUGCAAUCAGCGUCUGAAAAAACAUAAUAGUUACAACUUUCAACAACGGAUCUCUUGGUUCUGGCAUCGAUGAAGAACGCAGCGAAAUGCGAUAAGUAGUGUGAAUUGCAGAAUUCAGUGAAUCAUCGAAUCUUUGAACGCACAUUGCGCCCCUUGGUAUUCCAUGGGGCAUGCCUGUUCGAGCGUCAUUUGUACCUUCAAGCUCUGCUUGGUGUUGGGUGUUUGUCUCGCCUCUGCGUGUAGACUCGCCUUAAAACAAUUGGCAGCCGGCGUAUUGAUUUCGGAGCGCAGUACAUCUCGCGCUUUGCACUCAUAACGACGACGUCCAAAAGUACAUUUUUACACUCUUGACCUCGGAUCAGGUAGGGAUACCCGCUGAACUUAAGCAUAUCAAUAAGCGGAGGAA